This 497-nucleotide ribosomal RNA is filed under the name uncultured bacterium. RNAcentral's name for it is "partial 16S ribosomal RNA". It matches the Rfam family "Bacterial small subunit ribosomal RNA", at positions 28 to 507 of the family's 1533-position model. The record is from RNAcentral.
GAUGAACGCUGGCGGCGUGCCUAAUACAUGCAAGUCGAGCGAACAGAUGAGGAGCUUGCUCCUCUGACGUUAGCGGCGGACGGGUGAGUAACACGUGGAUAACCUACCUAUAAGACUGGGAUAACUUCGGGAAACCGGAGCUAAUACCGGAUAAUAUAUUGAACCGCAUGGUUCAAUAGUGAAAGACGGCUUUGCUGUCACUUUUAGAUGGUUCCGCGCCGCAUUAGCUAGUUGGUAAGGUAACGGCUUACCAAGGCAACGAUGCGUAGCCGACCUGAGAGGGUGAUCGGCCACACUGGAACUGAGACACGGUCCAGACUCCUACGGGAGGCAGCAGUAGGGAAUCUUCCGCAAUGGGCGAAAGCCUGACGGAGCAACGCCGCGUGAGUGAUGAAGGUCUUCGGAUCGUAAAGCUCUGUUAUUAGGGAAGAACAAAUGUGUAAGUAACUAUGCACGUCUUGACGGUACCUAAUCAGAAAGCCACGGCUAACUACGUG